GGGUCAUUAGCUCAGCUGGUAGAGCAGCGGACUCUUAAUCCGUUGGUCGCGGGUUCGAUCCCCUCAUGACCCACCA
Molecule: transfer RNA, 76 nt
Filed under: Candidatus Avisuccinivibrio pullicola
Lineage: Bacteria; Pseudomonadati; Pseudomonadota; Gammaproteobacteria; Aeromonadales; Succinivibrionaceae
Description: tRNA-Lys
Rfam family: tRNA
About the family: Transfer RNA (tRNA) molecules are approximately 80 nucleotides in length. Their secondary structure includes four short double-helical elements and three loops (D, anti-codon, and T loops).
Source: RNAcentral